This 119-nucleotide ribosomal RNA is filed under the name Acinetobacter baumannii ABNIH18. RNAcentral describes it as "partial 16S ribosomal RNA". It matches the Rfam family "Bacterial small subunit ribosomal RNA", at positions 1 to 121 of the family's 1533-position model. Lineage: Bacteria; Pseudomonadati; Pseudomonadota; Gammaproteobacteria; Moraxellales; Moraxellaceae. The record is from RNAcentral.
AACUGAAGAGUUUGAUCAUGGCUCAGAUUGAACGCUGGCGGCAGGCUUAACACAUGCAAGUCGAGCGGGGAAGGUAGCUUGCUACUGGCCUAGCGGCGGACGGGUGAGUAAUGCUUAGG